RNAcentral lists this transfer RNA (72 nucleotides) under Ovis aries (sheep). It matches the Rfam family "tRNA". From Rfam's summary of the family: Transfer RNA (tRNA) molecules are approximately 80 nucleotides in length. Their secondary structure includes four short double-helical elements and three loops (D, anti-codon, and T loops). The record is from Rfam by way of RNAcentral. Lineage: Eukaryota; Metazoa; Chordata; Mammalia; Artiodactyla; Bovidae.
UCCCUGGUGGCUCAGAUGGUAAAGCGUCUGCCUACAAUGCAGGAGACCUGGGUUUGAUCCCUGGCUCGGGAA